Molecule: ribosomal RNA, 54 nt
Filed under: Flavonifractor sp. An9
Lineage: Bacteria; Bacillati; Bacillota; Clostridia; Eubacteriales; Oscillospiraceae
Description: partial 23S ribosomal RNA
Source: RNAcentral
AGCGCGGUAACGCGUGCAGCUGACCGAUACUAAUAAGCCGAGGGCUUGACCUUA